RNAcentral lists this ribosomal RNA (494 nucleotides) under uncultured bacterium. RNAcentral's name for it is "partial 16S ribosomal RNA". It matches the Rfam family "Bacterial small subunit ribosomal RNA", at positions 28 to 507 of the family's 1533-position model. The record is from RNAcentral.
GACGAACGCUGGCGGCGUGCUUAACACAUGCAAGUCGAACGGAAAGGCCUGCUUUCCCUUGUGGAUUGCGGGUACUCGAGUGGCGAACGGGUGAGUAACACGUGAGUGAUCUGCCCCCAACUUGGGUAUAAGCCUGGGAAACUGGGUCUAAUUCCCGAUAGGACUGCAGGGUGGUGCCUGUGGUGGAAAACGAUUUUCUAGUGGUUGGGGAUGAGCUCGCGGCCUAUCAGCUUGUUGGUGGGGUAAUGGCCUACCAAGGCGGCGACGGGUAGCCGGCCUGGGAGGGUGGACGGGCACAUUGGGACUGAGAUACGGCCCAGACUCCUACGGGAGGCAGCAGUGGGGAAUAUUGCACAAUGGGCGGAAGCCUGAUGCAGCGACGCCGCGUGGGGGAUGACGGCCUUCGGGUUGUAAACUCCUUUCGACCGCGAGGAAGCCACCUGGUUGGAAGGGUGGUGACGGUAGUGGUAGAAGAAGCACCGGCUAACUACGUG